GAUGAAGAACGUAGCGAAAUGCGAUAAGUAAUGUGAAUUGCAGAAUUCAGUGAAUCAUCGAAUCUUUGAACGCACAUUGCGCCCCCUGGUAUUCCGGGGGGCAUGCCUGUCCGAGCGUCAUUACAACCCUCAAGCUCAGCUUGGUGUUGGGCCCCGCCGCCCCGGCGGGCCCUAAAGUCAGUGGCGGUGCCGUCCGGCUCCAGCGUAGUAAUUCUUCUCGCUCUGGAGGUCCGGUCGUGUGCUCGCCAGCAACCCCCAAUUUUUUUCAGGUUGACCUCGGAUCAGGUAGGGAUACCCGCUGAACUUAAGCAUAUCAAUAAGCGGAGGA
This 328-nucleotide unclassified non-coding RNA is filed under the name soil metagenome. RNAcentral's name for it is "partial contains 5.8S ribosomal RNA, internal transcribed spacer 2, and large subunit ribosomal RNA". The stretch from base 1 to 120 matches the Rfam family "5.8S ribosomal RNA", at positions 35 to 154 of the family's 154-position model. The record is from RNAcentral.